This 75-nucleotide transfer RNA is filed under the name bacterium HR20. RNAcentral's name for it is "tRNA-Arg". It matches the Rfam family "tRNA". From Rfam's summary of the family: Transfer RNA (tRNA) molecules are approximately 80 nucleotides in length. Their secondary structure includes four short double-helical elements and three loops (D, anti-codon, and T loops). The record is from RNAcentral.
GCGCCCGUAGCUCAGUGGAUUAGAGCAGCAGACUUCGGAUCUGCCGGUCGGGGGUUCGAAUCCCUCCGGGCGCGC